GACGAACGCUGGCGGCGUGCCUAAUACAUGCAAGUCGAGCGAAGUUUUUCUGGUGCUUGCACUAGAAAGACUUAGCGGCGCACGGGUGAGUCACACGUAAAGAACCUGCCUCAUAGACUGGGACAACUAUUGGAAACGAUAUCUAAUACCGGAUAACAGUAUUUCUCGCAUGUGAGAUAUUUAAAAGUUGGUUAUGCUAACACUAUGAGAUGUCUUUGCUGUGCAUUAGCUAGUUGGUGGGGUAAAGGCCCACCAAGGCGACGAUGCAUAGCCGACCUGAGAGGGUGAUCGGCCACACUGGGACUGAGACACGGCCCAGACUCCUACGGGAGGCAGCAGUAGGGAAUCUUCCGCAAUGGGCGAAAGCCUGACGGAGCAACGCCGCGUGAGUGAAGAAGGAUUUCGGUUCGUAAAGCUCUGUUGUUAGGGAAGAAUGGAUAUGUAGUAACUAUACAUGUAAGAGACGGUACCUAACCAGAAAGCCACGGCUAACUACGUG
This 499-nucleotide ribosomal RNA is filed under the name uncultured bacterium. RNAcentral's name for it is "partial 16S ribosomal RNA". It matches the Rfam family "Bacterial small subunit ribosomal RNA", at positions 28 to 507 of the family's 1533-position model. The record is from RNAcentral.